This 700-nucleotide ribosomal RNA is filed under the name Miconia tetraquetra. RNAcentral's name for it is "eukaryotic LSU rRNA". The stretch from base 245 to 402 matches the Rfam family "5.8S ribosomal RNA". The record is from RNAcentral. Lineage: Eukaryota; Viridiplantae; Streptophyta; Magnoliopsida; Myrtales; Melastomataceae.
GAACGACCCGCGAAUCGUCAUUGCGUACUAGACAGAGACCGUGAGCACCUAACGCUCACGGGGCUCGCGUCGCGUCGCGUCGGAGCGGGUGUCCUCGAGACGCGCCGUACCGGCGGACAAACAAUGUCAGCACGGAUCGUGCCAAGGAGCUUUAUUGAGAGAAUCGUCGUCCCACGCCUCUGAUAGUCCUCGAUGCGGGACGGGGGGCGGGGGGACGUACGCAAUCUCUACCCAAAGUCUAAACGACUCUCGGCAACGGAUAUCUCGGCUCUUGCAUCGAUGAAGAACGUAGCGAUAUAUGCGAUACUUGGUGUGAAUUGCAGAAUCCCGCGAACCAUCAAUUCUUUGAACGCAAGUUGCGCCCGAAGCCAUACGGCCGAGGGCACGCCUGCCUGGGUGUCGUGAAUCCCCUUGCCCCUAGGCACCCGCACGAGCAUUGGCGGGGAUAUAUGCUGGGGCGCANNAAUAUGGUCUCCCGUGGGAUCGGCAUGCACGGCAUGUCGAGGUGCGGUUGGCCGAAAAUCGAGCAUGGCGGUGACGGGCACCACGGCGUUCGGUGGAUCGAAUGAGAUUGGCUGCGUCAGUGGGCUCGGCAUGCGGCGGGCUCCGGACUUCUGAUUAUCCCCGAGUGCGAUCCCAGGUCAGGCGGGGCUACCCGCUGAGUNUAAGCAUAUCAUAUAAGCGGAGGAAAAGAAACUAA